AACGAACGCUGGCGGCAUGCCUAACACAUGCAAGUCGAACGAGACCUUCGGGUCUAGUGGCGCACGUGUGCGUAACGCGUGGGAACCUGCCCUUAGGUUCGGAAUACCUCCCCGUAAGGGGUGCUAAUACCGGAUAAUGUCUUCGGACCAAAGAUUUCUCGCCUUUGGAUGGGCCCGCGUUGGAUUCGCUAGUUGGUAGGGUAAAAGCCUACCAAGGCGACGAUCCAUAGCUGGUCGGAGAGGAUGAUCAGCAACACUGGGAAUGAGACACGGCCCAGACUCCUACGGGAGGGAGCAGAGGGGAAUAUUGGACAAUGGGGGAAAGUCUGACAAAGCAAUGCGGGGUGAGUGAUGAAGGCCUUAGGGUUGUAAAGCUGUUUGACCCGGGAUGAUAAUGACAGUACCGGGAGAAUAAGCACCGGCUAACUACGUG
Molecule: ribosomal RNA, 433 nt
Filed under: uncultured bacterium
Lineage: Bacteria
Description: partial 16S ribosomal RNA
Rfam family: Bacterial small subunit ribosomal RNA
Source: RNAcentral